Molecule: ribosomal RNA, 1419 nt
Filed under: uncultured Bordetella sp.
Lineage: Bacteria; Pseudomonadati; Pseudomonadota; Betaproteobacteria; Burkholderiales; Alcaligenaceae
Description: partial 16S-23S ribosomal RNA intergenic spacer
Rfam family: Bacterial small subunit ribosomal RNA
Source: RNAcentral
CAGAUUGAACGCUGGCGGAUGCUUUACACAUGCAAGUCGAACGGCAGCACGGACUUCGGUCUGUGGCGAGUGGCGAACGGGUGAGUAAUGUAUCGGAACGUGCCUAGUAUGGGGAUAAUCACGCGCAGCAAAAUAGCUAAUACGCAUACGCCCUUCGGGGGAAAGCGGGGGACCUUCGGGCCUCGCACUAUUAGAGCGCCGAUAUCGGAUUAGCUGGUUGGUGGGGUAACGGCUCACCAAGGCGACGAUCCGUGGCUGGUUUGAGAGGACGACCAGCCACACUGGGACUGAGACACGGCCCAGAUCUACGGGAGGCAGCAGUGGGGAAUUUUAAUGGGGGGAAACCCUGAUCCAGCCACUGGCGUGUGCGAUGAAGGCCUUCGGGUUGUAAAGCACUUUUGGCAGGAAAGAAACGGUACGAUGAUUCCCAGCAACUGACGGUACCUGCAAUACACCACAACUACGAUGCGCCAGCAGCCGCGGUAAAUACGUAGGAAAGCGUUAACGGAAUUACUGGGCGGAAGUGGCAGAGUACCCGGAAAGAAAGAUGAAAUCCCAGAGCUUAACUCUGGAACUGCAUUUUUAACUACUCGGAGCCAGAGUGUGUCAGAGAGGUGGAAUCUCGCGUAGCAGUGAAAAUGCAGAUAUGUGGAGGAACACCGAUGGCGAAGUGCAGCUCCUGGGAUAACACUGACGCUCAUGCACGAAAGCGUGGGGAGCAAACAGGAUUAGAUACCCCGGUAGUCCACGCCCUAAACGAUGUCAACUAGCUGUUGGGGCCUUCGGGCCUUGGUAUAAAGCUAAUCGCAGGAAGCAUCGCCUGGGGAGUACGGUCGCAAGAUUAAAACCAAAGGAAUUGACGGGGACCCGCACAAGGGCAUUAUGGAUUAAUUCGAUGCAACGCGAAAACCUUACCUACCCUUGACAUGUCUGGAAUCCCGAAGAGAUUUGGGAGUGCCUGCAAGAGAACCGAACACAGGUGCUGUAUGGCUGUCGUCAGCUCGUGUCGAGAUGCCGGGGCGAGCCGCAUCGAAUCCCGCUGCUGAGUCGCCGAGCGGGCCUUAACGAGACUGCUGGUGGACAAACCGAGAAUGGGGAUGACGCCAAGUCCCGCGGCCUUUAUGGGUAGGGCCUUCACAUCGCCAGCAAUGAUCGGACGAGGGUCGCUUAACCCGCGGAGGGGGAGCCAAUCCUGCAAACCCGAUCGUAGUCCGGAUCGCAGUCUGCAACUCGACUGCGUGAAGUCGGAAUCGCUAGUAAUCGCGGAUCAGCAUGUCGCGGUGAAUACGUUCCCGGUCUUGUACACACCGCCCGUCACACCAUGGAGUGGGCUUUACCAGAAGUAGUUAGCCUAACCGUAAGGAGGGCGAUUACCACGGUAGGAUCUUGAUGGACUGGGGUGAAGUCGUAACAAGGUAA